AGCCAUUAGACGAUAUUUAUGGUUAACCUGCCCAAUGUUAGUAUAAUGAAUGGCCGCGGUACCCUGACCGUGCUAAGGUAGCGUAAUCAGUUGGCUUUUAAAUGGAGUCAGGAAUGAAUGGGAAAACCGGGUUUAGCUGUCUCCCAACUAUUUUCUUGAAUUUACUGUUUAAGUGAAAAAGCUUAAAAAUGAUAAAGGGACGAGAAGACCCUUAGAAUUUUUUUUAAAAUGGAAAUUUUUCUAUAAUAAUUUUGUUGGGGCGACAGAGAAAUAUUUAAAACUUUCUUUAAAUUUACAUGCCGAUAUUGUUAAGUAAGAAUAAAUUACCUGAGGGAUAACAGCAUAAUUCUAUAGUUGAGUUUGUGACCUCGAUGUUGGACUAGGAAACUAACAGGCUAGCCGUUUGUUGUGUGGGUUCUGUUCGAACUCUAAUUCCU
This 437-nucleotide ribosomal RNA is filed under the name Coryphella verrucosa. RNAcentral's name for it is "partial large subunit ribosomal RNA". It matches the Rfam family "Bacterial large subunit ribosomal RNA", at positions 1829 to 2597 of the family's 2925-position model. The record is from RNAcentral. Lineage: Eukaryota; Metazoa; Mollusca; Gastropoda; Nudibranchia; Coryphellidae.